Saccostrea cuccullata (small rock oyster) is the source of this 2433-nucleotide long non-coding RNA. RefSeq lists it as uncharacterized. The record is from RefSeq and is a predicted model, not a curated record. Lineage: Eukaryota; Metazoa; Mollusca; Bivalvia; Ostreida; Ostreidae. The transcript has 5 exons.
UUGAAGUAUAUUUUUUUCGGAAAUUUAAUCUCUUUACAGAUGGUCCGAAGAAUAUAACUAAAUCCACAGCCGCCUUAUGACGGACUAAGUGUUCAUGACGGGGAAACAUUUGGUCCAUACACAUGUUCAGUUGACUGUAACCCACCUUGUACCGUGCAGUGGAAACUGAAGGAUCCCUCAGGGAGUUUCAGAGACGCUACAUCCAUUGGAAUGUCCUCAGUUACUGUACCAGUGCUAUCAGCGAAUAAGACUAAUAUGGCAUCAAUUCGGUGUAUAGUGAGCGGUACUGAAGGCAAACAAACAUCAGUCAUAAAUCUUAACAUUCUAUAUUUAGUGGAUCCGAGGGUAUAUAUCAAUGGUAAAGCUAGCGAUGCAUUAACCAUUAAUGAAUCAAAUCAAGUUGUCCUGUCGUGUUAUGUCGAUGGAAAUCCAAUUCCAGAAGUCACUUUUCGAAAACUCACCGGGAACCAGAUCUAUAUACAGAAUGCAACUCGUUGGCUAAACUACACAUUGAUCAGAAGGACCCAGUGUUCUGACACGGGUACUUUACAAUGUGUCGGACAAUCAACUGAGUUUGGGAGAAGGAAUCAGUCCUUCAGUAUUAACGUUCUCUGUGAACCUCGCCUCGAUGAAGGUACUUUGGUGAAAAACAUCUAUGAAUCAAGAAGUGGCCCGGAUGUUAAAGUUGUUGUAAGUUUACCAGUUGUUGCGAAUCCCCUUACAUCUACAUCAGGGUUCGUUUGGUUAGGACCCACAUUUGCGUCAAUUUCAAUGUAAGUUUCACAAAGAGAUAACGUUGUCUACAAACACUGGAUCAACAGCUCCAUCCCCGUUCCUGAUCAGAAAUCUUUUGGAACCUACUCGCUGAAAUACAAAGGAAAAGUCUUCGCUGAUAUACAAAUUCACGCAAAAGUUGUAAGUGCAGUUUCCAUAGAGGCCUCUGAUCAAACUGCCUGGGUGGUUAUUGGAAUACUCAUUGGUUUUUUCGUUUUGUUGCUGACGGACUUUGGAGUUUAUAAGUUCACUUUUCGUCGAGGUAUUAGAACAGGAUCGAUUCAACAACCUCAACCAGCUCACGAUCUCAGGAUCCAGAACAAAGAAUAUGAUGACAUUGAUGACGUUACUGUAGAAGCACAAGAUCAAAGUCCUAACACUCAGACAUACGAGGACGUAACAGAGAACACAGAACAAAUACAACCACUGACAGAUUAUCAGAAUAUCAAUGGACAUCAGGAUAACCAAUAUGAAGAGUUAAAGCCUGAUCAACAUAGACUUUACUCGCCUCUAAAGGUUCAGUGAACCUACGUAUAAAGAGAGGUAGAACUUUUUUGUAUGGAGAACUUUCAUUUUUUCUCACAAAUGUAUGAUAAGAUAUUUGAUUAGUUUUGAAAGACAAGGCACGACACUAUUUGCUUUUAACUUAAACAAUAGAUUUGUUUGAAAAAAAAAUAUCAGAGAAAAAAGAGAGAGGAUGAAAUGAAUACAAAGGUAAUACAAUAUCCUUUGUGCUAUUUAAAUAUUGUUGAGCUGAUAACAACCUUUGAUUUUUGACUUGAGAAAUUCUUUUAAUUUCUUUAAUUUUUUUUACACGCUCAGAUGUUAUCAGAGGAAAACAUAAAUGCGUUACAGUUUUGUAAAUAAAAAUCCAUAUCUUUCAUGUUUAUAAUGUGUGUUUUUCUUUACAUUUUUAUAUAAGAAAGUAGCCAAGUUUUAUUCACAGAUUUUUAUUGUUUAUUACUCAUUGGAUGUGCUGUUACAUUGGAAUAAGUUGAUAAUUUGUUGUAUGUAUGUUUGUGUAAAUAUGUAUGUAUAAGGGAGUUUUUCUGUAUCGAGUGGUAUUGGAUAAUUUUUUCCACAACCGUCGCCCACUUUGAUAUUUAGAUAUAUGUUGUGCAUAUUACAUUGGAAAAUCACGUAUCUCAACAUAAAUCCAUUGAAAAUUGGUGUCUUUUGCAACAUUUUAAGAAAAUAAUGGAUAAUGCACAUGUUAAUGACGUCACAAUUACAUGUAGCUUUUUAACAUGCAUGUAAGAACAAUGAUUUGUAUAAUUUUAAUGCAUGGAAUUUCAAUAAUUCAGAAUACAUGAGUUUUCAUUUUUUACAUUAGUUUCAUUUUUUAGAAAAUCAAAGGGAAACUUUGUAUUGAAACUGUACCUUCUUCUUUGUACUUUUAAAAUAAAACUAAUAUUUUCCUUGUUUACUGAGAGGGCCUUAUCUAAACGUUGAUUGUAGUUAUCUCCUCUAACACGUGUAAGCUUAGACAAAAAUUUCAAGGAGAAAAGGAAAAUGACGGAUUUCCUUCGCAUUUAUACCGAUUUAUAAUUUUACAGACAUUUUAUUUUAUCAUUCAGGCAGCUAAAAAGUUAAAUAUCGCUUACUUUGAUAAAAACAUCAACAUUUUAAACCUUUUAUACAUCAACUUGGAACUUAUAA